GGAUGCGAUCAUACCAGCACUAAGCACCGGAUCCCAUCAGAACUCCGAAGUUAAGCGUGCUUGGGCGAGAGUAGUACUAGGAUGGGUGACCUCCUGGGAAGUCCUCGUGUUGCAUCCCUC
Molecule: ribosomal RNA, 120 nt
Filed under: Nicotiana benthamiana
Lineage: Eukaryota; Viridiplantae; Streptophyta; Magnoliopsida; Solanales; Solanaceae
Source: RNAcentral